UAGGGAAUCUUCGGCAAUGGACGAAAGUCUGACCGAGCAACGCCGCGUGAGUGAAGAAGGUUUUCGGAUCGUAAAACUCUGUUGUUAGAGAAGAACAAGGACGUUAGUAACUGAACGUCCCCUGACGGUAUCUAACCAGAAAGCCACGGCUAACUACGUGCCAGCAGCCGCGGUAAUACGUAGGUGGCAAGCGUUGUCCGGAUUUAUUGGGCGUAAAGCGAGCGCAGGCGGUUUCUUAAGUCUGAUGUGAAAGCCCCCGGCUCAACCGGGGAGGGUAAUUGGAGACUGGGAGACUUGAGUGCAGAAGAGGAGAGUGGAAUUCCAUGUGUAGCGGUGAAAUGCGUAGAUAUAUGGAGGAACACCAGUGGCGAAGGCGGCUCUCUGGUCUGUAACUGACGCUGAGGCUCGAAAGCGUGGGGAGCAAACAGG
This 429-nucleotide ribosomal RNA is filed under the name Gemmatimonadota bacterium. RNAcentral's name for it is "Gemmatimonadetes bacterium partial 16S ribosomal RNA". It matches the Rfam family "Bacterial small subunit ribosomal RNA", at positions 355 to 776 of the family's 1533-position model. Lineage: Bacteria; Pseudomonadati; Gemmatimonadota. The record is from RNAcentral.